Molecule: ribosomal RNA, 253 nt
Filed under: uncultured bacterium
Lineage: Bacteria
Description: partial 16S ribosomal RNA
Rfam family: Bacterial small subunit ribosomal RNA
Source: RNAcentral
AACGUAGGGGACGAGCGUUAUCCGGAUUUACUGGGCGUAAAGCGCCCGCAGGCGGUUGGGUAAGUUGGCCGUGAAAGCUCCUGGCUUAACUGGGAGAGGUCGGUUGAGACUGCCUGACUUGAGGCCGAGAGAGGAGAGCGGAAUUCCCGGUGUAGUGGUGGAAUGCGUAGAUAUCGGAAGGAACAUCAGUGGCGAAGGCGACUUCCUGGACCAAUACUGACGCUCAGGUGCGAAAGCGUGGGGAGCAAACGGG